GUCUACAGCCAUGACACUCUGAACACGCCUGAUCCCUUCCAAUAUCAGAAGCUAAGCAAUGUCGGUCCUGGUUAGUGCUUAAAUGGGAGAACACCUAGGAAGACCAGGUGCUAUAGGCA
Molecule: ribosomal RNA, 119 nt
Organism: Pteropus vampyrus (large flying fox)
Lineage: Eukaryota; Metazoa; Chordata; Mammalia; Chiroptera; Pteropodidae
Source: Ensembl